This is a long non-coding RNA of Brassica rapa (field mustard), 3106 nucleotides long. RefSeq lists it as uncharacterized. The record is from RefSeq and is a predicted model, not a curated record. Lineage: Eukaryota; Viridiplantae; Streptophyta; Magnoliopsida; Brassicales; Brassicaceae.
GCGCCGUUUCGGAUUCUCACAACUUCGGAAACACCACAGACUGUGGUAAUGCUCUUUGGUAUCCUUUGCUUGCUAGGGUUUGGAACAGUUAGUUAAAAGCUAAACCAGACAGAAGACAGAACCAUAUACAAGGUUCCUCUAUUUUAUGAACUUGUUUGUGAGAGUGGAGACGACAUUGUCUGUGGUGGGGGGGGGUUUCCUUGUAGAAUGGUAAAAAGAGGUUGGUGAUUUGGAUCUAUACUCCAUUACGAUGGAUGGGUCUUGCUCAGAUGCUAAACUGUUGGAGCAGAUUCGUACAGUUUCUAGGCUAAAAAAAAGGAGAACUUCACCAGCAGGAGUUUUGUGCUCAUCUUGCUUUUCUGAUAUGAAUUUUGGUACACUCCAAGGCUUUUGCCGAUGAAAUUGGAACUCCUUUCAUGGAGACUAGUGCAAAAGAUGCUACAAACGUGGAACAGGCUUUCAUGGCCAUGUCGGCAUCCAAUCCAUCAAAGAGAGCAUGGCAAGCCAACCAGCUGGGAACAAUGCCAGACCGCCGACGGUGCAGAUCAGAGGACAGCCUGUUGCCCAAAAGAAUGGCCUAGCAAUAUCCUUUUCCGUUCAGUCUUCGAGUCCUACAACCUUAAGCCAAAAUUGUUCUCUUCAGUUCACUUGUACUUUGUACGUCAUUUCUGGUCUGUAAUUAAGCUCACUUGUCCUUUGGUUGGCUGUUUUUCUCUUUGCGUAUCAACAUUUUCGUACCACCACAUUUUUGUGGCUGCCUUCAGUGUAUUUAUAUACUGUCGUUUUGCUUAACAGUGUUUAUUAGAAAACUCACUGUUUUAUUCACUUAACACAAGUUACCUUAUCAUUUUCUUACAUCAGAACUCUUUUGCAUUUCUAGACUAGUAUAACGAAAAGUAGACGUCUCAUAACUUUGAAGCAAUUUCUCUUUCUAGAAUGGUAUCACGGAAAAAAACCUUCAAGCCUCUCCAGCUUUCCCCAGUAAUUAAACUACUCUCAGCCUUCCUCUCUGUUUCUCCUUUUGUGCCUUUUCUGAAUGUCAAACAUUGUGUGUUGGUUUCUUAUUGCAGACGACUUUUGGCAGCAGUUUUUGAAUACUUUGGACCAGAUUCGUACAGUUUCUAGGCUAAAAAAAAGGAGAACUUCAGCUGCAGGAGACUGAGCUCCGAGCUCAGAUGAUGGCAGUGGAAAAGCCAGAGGAACUUUGAUGUCUCGGUCUGCUGAGUAUGAGAAUGAUGCUGCUAGAGUGCAGGUUAUUAUUUACUCCUUUGAUUGUUUUUUGUAUUAUCAUUGAGCAUUUCAAUGUUGCGUAGAAGAUGAAGUUGACUUUUAUAGGAGCAACUUUGUGACAAGGAGGGUUGAGGGGAUCUGUUCGGGAGAUAGAAUAGAUUUUGGCUUUGCAGUUAUGUCGUGAAUGAACACUGGAACGACUGUCCCUCCUCGGUUCUAGACAUUUACCACGAGCUUAUAGCUGGUGCGCUUCGUAUUUGGGUUUUCAGUGGUGACGCAGAUGCUGUUGUACCAGUCACAUCAACCCGGUACAGCAUAGAUGCUCUUAAGUCUUAACCUUAGUCCAUAUGGCCUUUGGUGCAUACUGCACAUGUACGAACUUGUUAAAGAGUAGUAUAAGAUUGGGUAAGAAAUAGAACUUGAACUUGCAACAAUGAUUCUGAACGCCUCAGUGUUUAUUCUAGGCUUGUUUCUUUUGUUCCCAUGAUCAGUUUUGUCUAGCUUCUUUAAUAAUAAAUUCUAUAUCACUUCAUCUUCAUCUCUUGAUUAGGUGGUUAGCCUUUGAAUUUCAAACCACGUGUUAUCUAUAUCCCCUAUAUAUUCUAUAACCUCCCCACCUUUUCUUACUUCCUACAAUAUCGGGAUCCACUAUUUUCAUGUAAAAGUAGAUGAUCUUCACGUAUACAUCAUAUACUCAUCGCAUAAGAAAGAAUAUGACCAUCAGUUAUUUGACUACAAUAUAUUUCCUUUUUUCCUUAUGGUUGUUUCUGAAAUCACUCUAUAGCUGCUUUCCUUUAUUCCAGUUACUGGUCUGAGAUUACAAAAUUUUAGUCAAAAUUUUUAACUAUGGUUUUUAAGCAUAAGAUUUUUUAAAUUGGAUAAUUUUUAAAUUUUUGGAUAGACAAACAUUCAGGUAAUUCGAUCAAUAAAUAGCAUUUUUAGUGUAUUUGGUUAUUUAGAAAUUAAAUAUGAUUAAUAUCUAUAAAUAUUUGGUUCGCGAUUUGGUUUCGGUUCAGUUUCAGAUAAUUUGUAAAGUUUAGGAUAAACAAUACUCGGGUAAUUCUGUUACUAAAUAGUAUUUUUUAAUAUAUUUAGGUGGGUUCAGCCCAUCAGAUGUUGAGUUUAAGACGUUUUCAGUCUCAAAAUGCCGUAGUAACAAUUCCUACACAGUCCACUGUAUUAGAAGAAGAUUAAACAAAUCACAAUCGGGAAAUUAACAGAGUUGUGCAAUGGAAAUUGGCUGCAACUUGCAACAAACAGCACAACAAGGAACAUGGUACGAGAAGAAAGAUGCCGGAAGGUGGUAACGAGGAAGCAUCAACUUUCUGAGACAGAGCAAUCAAUUCAUGGUUUGAUGGUUCUCCUCAAACCAUCAAAAGAACCAUGAGACUUUUGCAUUGGAAUUGUAAGGGGUUGGGGAGCCCUCUGACAAUUCCACACUUAAAAGGACAUCAGGAGAAGCCAUAACCCUGAGAAUGUAAAUAUUGUAGUAUAAGAACUAGCCAGGGAUCAUCUAGGUUAUGAUCACACUUUUGUAAUUCCGAAGUAGCGGGGGGUUAGCAAUAUUUUGGAGCGAUAGGAUCAAGAUUCACUUUUUGGGUGAUCCUAGUUUGUAUAAAACAAAUACAUGUAUGUAGAAGAUGGAAGCAAAACUUUUUGUUUGACAUAUAUAUAUAUAUGGAAACCCUGUUGAAAAGUAUAGAAAAGAGCAAUGGUAUGACUUGAUCCAAUCUGAGUAUGCAGGAUUUUUGAAGCACAAGCUAAGGUUAAUGAUAGGGGACUUCAAUGACAUAAAGAAUAAUGCGGAGAAACAGGGAGGCGUUAUAAGGUCAGCUAAGUCUUUUACUCAGUUUAAUCGCUUGUUAGCAAUACUGGG